GGGAAAUACUAGUUCUGUGCCUUGGGAGGGGGGGCUGAGUUUUAAACCAAGAAACUGCUGCGGCAGUGACUCCUAGGUCAUCCAAAAUAACUGCAGAGUCUGGAAGGACUACUUGGCCUGAGUAGGUGCUGAGACCCUUUUGGAGUGUAUGACACUGCUUGUCAACCAGAAGGAGUAUGUCCUCCACGGUUCGGGACAGGAUUUCAAAGAUGCAGGGCAAGGGCUGAAGAGACCCCUGGGUGUUCCCGAGUGCUCCGUGGGGAUUACAGCUGUGCUGUGGCCCUGAGCCGGCCGGUACCUCCUCCACCUGUAGCUCACCGGAGAGGAGACAGGGCUUGGGCGGAGCCCACUUUCCAAGACAGGUGGCUGUGAAGUCGCCCUUCACCCUUGACUGCACCCGGACUGACUGCCCAGGGAAGGGACAGAGGGAGGCAGAGGGGGCAGGCCUUUCAGGUCUCGGGGAGCAGGAGCAGCGCUCUCCACUGUGGCCCUCACCUGGCGGCUUUGGGACCCCGCUUCCAGACGCGCCCUGAACGUGGGUGCGUGUUUAAAAUGCACACGUGUGCACGUACCCCCAACCGGGAAGCCCCCUUCCUUGGGUGGGAGGUUCUGGAAGGCUGGUCCGAGGUGGAUGGGAACCCGAGAAGGAAGGUGGGGAGGGCGGGCGGGUGGGGAUGGGCGACUCACCUGGGGCCACUUUCUCAGGCCCAGCCCAGCAGGUGUUUGGGUGGCGCCACCUCGUCUGCCCUGGCGGCGGUGGCGCUUCCGGCCCUGACACGGAAUCCGUCGCGGGGAGCGGGGAGCGCGGGGCCAGGUGCGGCCGGGCUAACCUGGUGGAAGCCUCGUGGAGCACAGAGCUGAUGUCAGGCCCACGGGAGAGCAGUGGGCAGCGAGCGCUUCAGCCUCCUACCGCCAGGCCCUGACCAGCUGUCAGCACCAGCAGAAGCAAGGUGACGGAUCCUUUCAGCUCCAGCGUGCUAUCUGGAAUCCUCCUGCCCUGGAAGUAGAUCGGUCCUCUGAGAUCAGGCUGGGAUGCAGCCAGCAUACAGCAGAGCUAUUUGUCCACCUGUCUUCUGCCUUGAUGGUAUCACAGCAGAGUAUUUCCCUUCCUGACCCGCACAGCAAUCUGUGGUAGUUUUUUUGUAUUUUCCAGAAAGGCUGCAAAAAUAUUUCUGAUCCCACAUGCUCUUCUAGAACCUUGCCACUCCAACAGCAUGGGGUGGAGUCUGUCUCCUGCCCUGGAACCUGGGCUGGCCAUUGUGAAUGCAAUGGAAGGGAUGCUCUGUGAAUUCCAAGGCUAGUUCAUAAAAGCUCAUACAACUUGCCCUAGUUUUCUCUCACCCUCUCUCUCUUUUUCUCUCCCUCAGACUCAGGACAUUCACCCUUGGUAUGUAGCUGUCAUUUUGUGAGGAAGCCCAAGAUGCAGAGAGAGACCACGUGUAGGUGUUGCCAGCAACAGCUGCCAUCUCGGCUGACACUACACCUGUCACCCACUAGACACAUGGAGUGAGAAAACCCUUGAGAGGCCUCCAGACACUCCCACCAUCUGACCACAACUGCACGCAAGAUCCUGAGUGAGAACACCUGGCGAAGUCCAGUCAACCCCAGAACUGUAAGAAAAAUUAUAUAUAUAUAUAAUAGCAUAGCAUAAAGUCGUUGUUUAUGCCAUCCAGUUUGGGGUGAUUUCCUACACAGCAAUUGGUAACCUGCACAUGAGCUGAAAAAAUAAGACAUUAUGCUGUUUAAGAAGGGUAAGCUUGGGGCCCCUGGUAGCUCAGUCGGUUAAGGGUCUAACUCUUGGUUUCAGCUCAGGUCAUGAUACUGGGGUCGUGAGAUCAGGCCUUGUGUUGGGCUCUGAGCUCUGUGAGAAGUCUGCUAAAGUUUCUCUCUCCUUCUCCCUUCACCCUCCCUAUGCUUGCACAUGCACACUCUCUCAAAUAAGUAAAUAAAUCUUUUUUUUUUUUUAAAAAGGAUAAUCUUAAAAUAUCUUGUUCAUGUAAUCUCCUGCAAGGACUUUGAAAAACCAUGUAUCUGCCCACACCUUUUUAAGUUGCUUUCUACAAUUUUUGUUAUACCUUUAAAUGGCUGCAAAAUAAAAUUUCACACAAAAUCAUGACAUCAUUCUCUUAAGUACAUCCACUAGAAUAUCCACACAAUUUGAUAGCUAUGAUCACCCAUGUUUAAAACACAAGAACCUGGGCAGCCCGCGUGGCUCAGUGGUUUAGUGUUGCCUUUGGCCCAGGGUGUGACCCUGUAGACCUGGGAUCGAGUCCCACAUCAGGCUCCCUGCAUGGAGCCUGCUUCUCCCUUUGCCUGUGUCUCUGCCUCUCUCUCUCUCUCUCUCUGUAUCUCGUAUGAAUAAAUAAAUAAAAUCUUAAAAAAUAAUAAAAUAAUAAAAUACAAGAACCUUGGGCACCUGGGUGGCUCAGUCGGUUAAGUGUCUGCCUUGGGAUCAGGCCAUGAUCUCAGGGUCCUGGGAUCGAGCCCCGCGUUGAUCUCCCUGUUCAGCAGGGAGUCUGCUUCUCCUUCUCCCCCUCCCCCAGUUCAUGCUCUCUCUCUUUCUCUCUCUCUCUCUCAAAUAAAUAAAUAAAAUAUUUAAAAAAUAAAAUACAAGAACCAUUUCUCCUUUUGGAGUCAGAAAUUUCACAUUGUUCCUUUUUUUCCUUGACCUGGUGUUACUAGUCCAAGUCCCUCACAAAGUUUCAUUCUGUGUUUGCAUUUGAAAAUCAUUUCUCAUCCUAUUGUGCCUUUCUGCAAAAAGAAUACAUGCAUGCACGUACAUAUCGAAAUUAUAAGUGUUUUUGUUUCCAGUUAUCACAAAACAUUCCUCAAUGCUUAAAAAUUUUUAUACACAUUAAGAUAAUAUUUUACAGAAAAUAACAUGGGUAAAAACUGUUUUUCAGUUAUUUUAAGUAUCCACAGAUGAAUAUUACUAUUGUAUAGAAUGAGCCAGAGUUCAACAUGAAUUUUAAUCCCUGUUUGUAUUUGUAUAGAUUUAAGUGCCAAGAAAUCUCACUCACAUAAAGAAGUAGAUGGAGUUGGAAGCAGUUUUGAUAGAGCAAUGUCAUUGAUUCUUUCAACCUCGUCCAAGUCACAUGCUAAAAAUUGCACAGCAAUUCAGUCUCAAAGUUUAUUUUUAGUGUUCUAUACCAUGACAACUCGGUCACAUCCAGCUUCCAUUUUAUUGGUGGCAAAGAACUGGAAAUCACUUGGCUUGAAUGUUUCCUGGGGAAAUGUUCUGGAGACUGACAGGAGGAGGAGAGGGCUUUAGAGGGCGAUGGGAACUUCAGCCAGCCUUCAGUUCCUCUAGGAGGUGGAACCCUCUAGGGGGUUCCACAUUUCACCUCUGCCUCUAGGGGGUGACCCUGGGCUUCCUGGGCCAUGAGGGCCUCGCCAACUCUCUUCUCUGCAGGGGCCCCCUGGCAAACAUGGGCUACAGUGUGUGUCUCUGCUUUCCAGACUCCUUGUCCUUGUGGGUCGACAUGUCUGGAUGGAGAGGAUAGAGCUGCAUGUGAUCCUUCUCCCCCCAUUCUUAACUGGUACCGAAGUCACUACUUAACAGAAAGUGGAGUUCUUAGACUUACCCACACCAAUGUCUUACACUCUAGAGCCUAGGGUGGAAAUCAUUUACACAGGAACAGCAUGAUUUUUUGAACAUGCUCAGUGACAGAUUUUCUAUAUUGAAAUUUCUGGAAGUCAUUUGGAUGAAAUGCCUCAAUUAAGCAAGGCUCAUUACAGGAUGUUCUAUGGAAUACUGUCCUACACCAGGCUCAAGGGAAACAGAGUUUGGGGUAGGAUUUGAUCGGAAGAGAUCGCACACCAUUCUAUCUCCUUGGAGUUUUGAAACAUACAUUGAAAGUUUUAAUAAAUUCUGUAACAAAGAAACCCAUUUGACUGGAUUUUCUAAGCCCAUCAGACCACGAAUCCAGACUGUCCUCACAUAACCAGUCUUCCCCAAACAUCCGAGGUAAAGGCUAAAGUCCGUGACAAAUUUGGUGACAGAUUUUGGUUAGAAAUUGUUCAGCUGGGUCCUGGUGUGGAGAAGCCAAAAGACCCCAUUCCACCCUUCACUUUGCAAGGCAUCCUGUGGCUCUUCAGCAUGUGUGCAUGACGGGAUCGAUGGGCUUUUGACCUCCAGUUUGAACCAUCCCACAGAUGGCAGAGAGACAAAGCAGUGUGCUCUUUAUUUGUGAUUUUGACAUGUGUGCUUUGGGGGAUACUGGGAAUGUUGUAAUUUUCCAGAGCAAACUUUGACAUUUUGUUUCUGGGUCACAGAGAAAGCACUACCUCUCAUCACCAAUUACUGUUUUCCUCAAAUCCAUGCUAUUUUUGUCCAGUUUCCUUUGAAAUACCAGAACAAAUGCUAAGCCUUUGGUUUUUCCUCUUGUCAUUCAAAUGAAUGGUACAGAUUUUUUUGGGGGGUGGGGUGGGGAGUCUUACCUUGGGUUCAAGUUGUCCUUCAGAACACAUGAGUGGCUCUCAAAAGCCAACUCUUCUCCCAGCACUUGCCUCGUUGCUAGAAUCACAGCUCUUACUUCUUUCAUGACAGUGUCACCAACUGUUUACUUGGAUGAUCAUCGAUAUCUGUACCUUGUUUAAUUUUCAGGGUCACACUCUCGCUUUUGAUAUCAUUUGUGUCCAAUCAAAUCUCCUUUUAUGUAUUUACAGUUUACAUGAGAAACUGACUUCACGUGGUCAUUGAUGCUCUUCACUCCAGCUAAUGGUCAUUUCUUUUUAGGCCAGUGCGUCGUAAUGCAGUCCUCUGUUAAGGCUGCUAGAACAAGAUCAGUUUAGACAAUGUUGAGAUUAAUGCUGUUGCAAGUUGAAACAAGUUGUGACAUGCUGGGAAACACUCUGAGUCCGAUUUUUUAAUUUACAAAUGAAGGGUGUUAGACUCAAAUCUUUUCAGGUCUCUUUGGAGAACUUUAUGCUUCUGUAUGUUGCUAAGCUCAGGACUCUUCUAUUUCCUUAAGUAAUAUGAUAGCAUUUUUAAUCACCUAUCAUUCAUUAAAUUCAUCUAAAAUGUUUGAGAUCCAAUUACUUUUCAAUUUACUGCAACUCCUUCAGCAAAAAAUUCUGUUUACUCGCUACACACCAAGUUCCAGUUUGACUCUCGUCCCCAUACCUUGCAUGUGUGGUGGCUGCAUGCAUAAGGGCACAAAUAACACUCCCUGGGCUUGUGAAAAGUUUCUAAGCAAGCUUUAAGGGAAAUCCCAGACAACUGCAUUUCAAUAGGAUAUUGUGCCAAGAACAUACAGCACCGAGCACAUGAGGAAGAGAAGAGCACACACCUGAGCAUGGAUGAAGUGAGGAUAAACCCACAAAAUAAGGAUCCUCUGUGAAUUUAGUUUUCUGAAGAUCUUUGUAAUACUCAGGAAAAUCUAGGUAAGAGGGCAACUUUACCUUAGAAAUCAAUUUGCACAGGAGUAAAUUGGGGCCAUAACUUAUUUGAAGAGUCUUGAGCAUCCCUGGAAGGUCACUAUAAUUGGAUACCUGGCGUGGCCAGAGAGGCAUCACCACUGUUCAGCAGGAAAUGAUGAACGCCGUGAUUUGGGAGCUCUGUCAAUAUUUGUGUGCAGUCAAUGAAGAAGGGAAGAAGUAGAAGGCAAGUGACGGUGGGGGCUAGUUUCAAGGUGAAGACACCCUAAAGCGACAAUUCUGGAGAGACAUUACAGAGGACAGCUAAGAGUUUGGUUAUAGAUGGGACGAGAGGAUGGGAGAGACAGGAGGCAAAGAUAACUCGCUUUCUGA
RNAcentral lists this long non-coding RNA (5751 nucleotides) under Canis lupus familiaris (dog). Its description in RNAcentral is "lncRNA (ENSCAFG00000055524.1)". Lineage: Eukaryota; Metazoa; Chordata; Mammalia; Carnivora; Canidae. The record is from RNAcentral.